This 72-nucleotide transfer RNA is filed under the name Apaloderma vittatum (bar-tailed trogon). It matches the Rfam family "tRNA". Rfam says of the family: Transfer RNA (tRNA) molecules are approximately 80 nucleotides in length. Their secondary structure includes four short double-helical elements and three loops (D, anti-codon, and T loops). Further hydrogen bonds mediate the characteristic L-shaped molecular structure. tRNAs have two regions of fundamental functional importance: the anti-codon, which is responsible for specific mRNA codon recognition, and the 3' end, to which the tRNAs corresponding amino acid is attached (by aminoacyl-tRNA synthetases). tRNAs cope with the degeneracy of the genetic code in two manners: having more than one tRNA (with a specific anti-codon) for a particular amino acid; and 'wobble' base-pairing, i.e. permitting non-standard base-pairing at the 3rd anti-codon position. Lineage: Eukaryota; Metazoa; Chordata; Aves; Trogoniformes; Trogonidae. The record is from Rfam by way of RNAcentral.
GGUCGGUUAGCUCAGUCAGUUGAGCGUGGUGCUAACAACACUAAGGUCGUGGGUUCAGUUCCUCUUCGAUCC